GUGGGGAAUAUUGGACAAUGGGGGGAACCCUGAUCCAGCCAUGCCGCGUGUGUGAAGAAGGCCUUUUGGUUGUAAAGCACUUUAAGCGAGGAGGAGGCUACCGAGAUUAAUACUCUUGGAUAGUGGACGUUACUCGCAGAAUAAGCACCGGCUAACUCUGUGCCAGCAGCCGCGGUAAUACAGAGGGUGCAAGCGUUAAUCGGAUUUACUGGGCGUAAAGCGCGCGUAGGUGGCCAAUUAAGUCAAAUGUGAAAUCCCCGAGCUUAACAUGGGAAUUGCAUUCGAGACUGGUUGUCUAGAGUAUGGGAGAGGAUGGUAGAAUUCCAGGUGUAGCGGUGAAAUGCGUAGAGAUCUUGAGGAAUACCGAUGGCGAAGGCAGCCAUCUGGCCUAAUACUGACACUGAGGUGCGAAAGCAUGGGGAGCAAACAGGAUUAGAUACCCGAGUAGUCC
This 451-nucleotide ribosomal RNA is filed under the name uncultured bacterium. Its description in RNAcentral is "partial 16S ribosomal RNA". It matches the Rfam family "Bacterial small subunit ribosomal RNA", at positions 354 to 796 of the family's 1533-position model. The record is from RNAcentral.